RNAcentral lists this ribosomal RNA (202 nucleotides) under uncultured prokaryote. RNAcentral describes it as "partial 16S ribosomal RNA". It matches the Rfam family "Bacterial small subunit ribosomal RNA", at positions 524 to 725 of the family's 1533-position model. The record is from RNAcentral.
UACGUAGGGUGCGAGCGUUAAUCGGAAUUACUGGGCGUAAAGCGUGCGCAGGCGGUUCGCUGUGUCUGCGGUGAAAGCCCCGUGCUCAACCUGGGAAUGGCCGUGGAAACUGGCGAGCUGGAGUGUGGCAGAGGGGGGUGGAAUUCCACGUGUAGCAGUGAAAUGCGUAGAGAUGUGGAGGAACACCGAUGGCGAAGGCAGC